GCUACCCCAGGACGGGUGAGACCACCUGCCGAGUUUAAGCAUAUCAAUAAGCGGAGGA
This 58-nucleotide ribosomal RNA is filed under the name Phalaenopsis violacea. Its description in RNAcentral is "partial 25S ribosomal RNA". The record is from RNAcentral. Lineage: Eukaryota; Viridiplantae; Streptophyta; Magnoliopsida; Asparagales; Orchidaceae.